AGCUGGUCUGAGUACAGUGGUGGUUACAACUAAUUGAUCACAACCAGUUCCAGAUUUCUUUGUUCCUUCUCUAUUUCCACUGCUUCACUUGACUAGCCUUAA
This 102-nucleotide Y RNA is filed under the name Carlito syrichta (Philippine tarsier). RNAcentral describes it as "Y RNA (ENSTSYG00000030278.1)". It matches the Rfam family "Y RNA". From Rfam's summary of the family: Y RNAs are components of the Ro ribonucleoprotein particle (Ro RNP), in association with Ro60 and La proteins. The Y RNAs and Ro60 and La proteins are well conserved, but the function of the Ro RNP is not known. Lineage: Eukaryota; Metazoa; Chordata; Mammalia; Primates; Tarsiidae. The record is from Rfam by way of RNAcentral.